GACGAACGCUGGCGGCGUGCUUAACACAUGCAAGUCGAACGGGUCUGCCCUGUUUUUUGCGGGGUGGGUCAGUGGCGAACGGGUGAGUAACACGUGAGUAACCUGCCCCUCACUUCUGGAUAACCGCUUGAAAGGGUGGCUAAUACGGGGUGUUCUGGCUGUGCCGCAUGGUGUGGCUGGGAAAGAUUCACUUUUGUGGUGUUUUGGUGGGGGAUGGGCUCGCGGCCUAUCAGCUUGUUGGUGGGGUGAUGGCCUGCCAAGGCUUUGACGGGUAGCCGGCCUGAGAGGGUGGGCGGUCAGACUGGGACUGAGAUACGGCCCAGACUGCUGCGGGAGGCAGCAGGGGGGGGUAUUGCACAAUGGGCGGAAGGCUGAUGCAGCGACGUCGCGUGAGGGAUGGAGGCCUUCGGGUUGUGAACCUCUUUCGCCGGUGAAGAAGGUCCUGCUCUUUGUGGUGGGGUUGACGGUAGCCGGGUUAUGAAGCGCCGGCUAACUACGUG
This 500-nucleotide ribosomal RNA is filed under the name uncultured bacterium. RNAcentral describes it as "partial 16S ribosomal RNA". It matches the Rfam family "Bacterial small subunit ribosomal RNA", at positions 28 to 507 of the family's 1533-position model. The record is from RNAcentral.